UGGGAAAAAAGCCAUCUUGAAGUUAAUGGAUGCCGUGGAUGAAUACAUUCCUGACCCUGUGAGGCAACUUGACAAACCUUUCCUAAUGCCAAUAGAAGAUGUUUUCUCAAUUCAGGGACGUGGAACUGUUGCAACUGGACGUGUUGAACAAGGGACCAUUAAAGUUGGUGAAGAAGUAGAGAUUUUGGGGUUAAUGCAGGGUGCUCCUCUAAAAACAACUGUGACAGGUGUUGAGAUGUUUAAGAAAAUCUUGGAUCAAGGACAAGCUGGUGACAAUGUGGGUCUUCUCCUACGUGGUCUAAAGCGAGAUGAUGUGCAAAGAGGACAGGUGAUUG
Molecule: unclassified non-coding RNA, 335 nt
Filed under: Hevea brasiliensis (rubber tree)
Lineage: Eukaryota; Viridiplantae; Streptophyta; Magnoliopsida; Malpighiales; Euphorbiaceae
Source: RNAcentral